This is a long non-coding RNA of Sinocyclocheilus anshuiensis, 334 nucleotides long. RefSeq lists it as uncharacterized. The transcript is spliced from 3 exons. The record is from RefSeq and is a predicted model, not a curated record. Lineage: Eukaryota; Metazoa; Chordata; Actinopteri; Cypriniformes; Cyprinidae.
UUAAUUCACUUUCAUUUUCAUUCUUUGUGCUGGCUGACUGUGACUUCUCGUCGUGUCGUCGAUAACAACUGGAUCGCAUCUUCUCUUUUCAACCAAAAUCCCACGGUAUCCAGUGGAUAAGACAUUAAAGCGUGUUUUUCUGCCACAGCUUUAAUAAAGUUUGGCAAGACAAAUCGAAACGAUAAUUCGCAAACGAUGACUUCCUUAGACAUGAGCCCCGCGUCUAAGAAACAGGUGGAUGGAUUCUCCAAAAAAAUCACCAAGGAGGCCGAACAGUUGAUCUCAAACUUCUUCCCUGAGAAGAUUGCAGAGAUGGACAACAUCUUACAGGUAU